This 253-nucleotide ribosomal RNA is filed under the name uncultured bacterium. Its description in RNAcentral is "partial 16S ribosomal RNA". It matches the Rfam family "Bacterial small subunit ribosomal RNA", at positions 524 to 776 of the family's 1533-position model. The record is from RNAcentral.
UACAGAGGAGCCAAGCGUUGUCCGGAUUGACUGGGCGUAAAGCGCACGCAGGCGGAGAGGCGCGUGGGGUGUGAAAGCUGGUGGCUUAACUGCCAGUCGCCAUCCCAUACGGCCACUCUGGAGCCUUGCAGAGGGCAGUGGAAUUGCCGGUGUAGUGGUGAAAUGCGUAGAGAUGUGGAGGAAUACCGAUGGCGAAGGCAGCCCCCUGGGAUAACACUGACGCUCAUGCACGAAAGCGUGGGGAGCAAACAGG